Molecule: ribosomal RNA, 253 nt
Filed under: uncultured bacterium
Lineage: Bacteria
Description: partial 16S ribosomal RNA
Rfam family: Bacterial small subunit ribosomal RNA
Source: RNAcentral
UACAGAGGUCUCAAGCGUUAUUCGGAAUCACUGGGCGUAAAGGGUGCGUAGGCGGCGCGGAAAGUCAGGGGUGAAAUCCCGGAGCUCAACUCCGGAACUGCCUUUGAUACUCCCGUGCUAGAGAGCUGGAGGGGACAUCGGAAUUCACGGUGGAGCAGUGAAAUGCGUGGAUAUCGUGAGGAACACUAGUGGCGAAGGCGGAUGUCUGGACAGUAUCUGACGCUGAGGCACGAAGGCCAGGGGAGCGAACGGG